AUGCCGAAAUUUAAACUAACACAUCAUGACAAUAUGAAAAUUUAUACUCUGUACCAACAAGGAUGGCCCGUGCAUGCCAUAUUACGAAAGUUGUCCGCUGAUGGUAUAGAUAUUUCUUGGGGAGCUGUUAAAAAUGUGAUCAUUAAGUACCAACAUGGUCGUGCUGGAUAUGAACAUUUGUCAAGAAAGAAAAUUCCGACAUUCAAAAGUAUUACAGAUGCAGAUAUUGAUUUUGUUAAAUCUACACUUGAUGAAAAUCCAACUCAAACAUGCAGUGACAUUAUGCGUCGUUUAUCAGACAAGGGCACAAUUACAAGUAAAUCUACCGUUCGAAAAAUGAUAGAUUCAGCCGGAUACACUGCAUCAACACCUCGUUAUGGACAGAUGAUUCGUGAUGCAAAUAAAUUAAAGAGAGUUGAGUUUUGUAAGCAACUUAUAGCAGUCAAUGAACAAUUUGACGAUAUCAUAUUCACAGAUGAGGCAACCGUUCAACUUCACGAUAAUAAAGUUGUUAUAUACAGAAGAAAGGAUUGCGUUGCUCCUGUACUGCCGAAGCCAAAGCAUCCACUUAAAGUCCACGUUUUGGGGAGGCAUUAG
This 597-nucleotide small RNA is filed under the name Mytilus galloprovincialis (Mediterranean mussel). Lineage: Eukaryota; Metazoa; Mollusca; Bivalvia; Mytilida; Mytilidae. The record is from RNAcentral.